CUUCUGCAGAAAGUGCUGGAUGAUUUUUCCCCGUAAAUAUAGAAGAAGCCAUAGAAAACCUGCCUUUUCUCAGCUGUGGUGAUAACUUUCCAGGGAAUUGUGGCAUUCAGAUCUAAGCUUGUGAAAUCAAUGCCUUGCUGCAGAAGAACCGGGUUGCAUCUUACUGGACUCCUUUGUGGUUCAGUAUGCACAUGUGUUUGUCAUUGCUCCCCUCUUCCAAUUAUUGCAAACUAUCUCCACAACAGUUACUACAUUAUUACAUUCCUGCUGUAUUUAGUGAUUACUCUAUUCUAUUCUAUUCUAUUCUAUUCUGUUCUGUUCUGUUCUGUUCUGUUCUGUUCUGUUCUGUUCUGUUCUAUUCAGCUAUCCCAUCCCAUCCCAUCCCAUCCCAUCCCAUCCCAUCCCAUCCCAUCCCAUCCCAUCCCAUCCCAUCCUAUCCUAUCCUAUCCUAUCCUAUCCUAUCCUAUCCUAUCCUAUCCUAUCCUAUCCUAUUCUAUUCAGCUAUCCCAUCCCAUCCCAUCCCAUCCCAUCCCAUCCCAUCCCAUCCCAUCCCAUCCCAUCCCAUCCCAUCCUAUCCUAUCCUAUCCUAUCCUAUCCUAUCCUAUCCUAUCCUAUCCUAUCCUAUCCUAUCCUAUCCUAUCCUAUCCUAUCCUACUCUUAUCCCAGAUCAGAGAAGGAUGCUGCAGAUUGUGGCAGCAGAUAAUUUGUCUACACCUUUUGUAGCUGCAGACCACCAAAGAGCCUAGCAUAAAGGCAUCUGAGGACAGAUUCAAGCACAACUUCAGCAUAUGCAAUACUUGACAUGUACUUACGUUAUUGGGAAUUUAUGAGGUCUGAAUAGUCUUCUGCCUCUUUUUAGCUAUGUUUUGCCUGGGAGGAUGGUGUUCAUCUGACAAAAUGUAGGCAGCUAUGCCUGAGACAGACAAUGGGAAGGAACAAGUCCUUUAGGGGAUCACCAUGUUGCCUAUAUAUAUAUGCAUAUAUUUAUUUAUGUCAAAUAUAUUCACACAUAUACACUGCUUUAUAUAUACACAUGUACUGCAAUAUAUAUACAUAUACAUGUACAUGUAUAUAUAUAGCUCUGUCUAUAUAUGUACGUAGCUUUACACAUAUAUACAUAUGUAUAUGUAUAUAGGCCAAAUGACUCACUGGUUUAAGGCAUGGGUUUUCCUUCACUGACUCUAAAUGAUGCCCAUAUUUAUCAGAUUACCUAUAGAUGCUUAUAUGGUAUAUGUCAAAAACCAAAUGGGAUGAAUCCUUUCCUUAUAGUUCAGGAGGUAUAGAAUGUUAGUGUAAUUUUCUGUUUUGUGAUAAAAUGUGUGUCAUUGUUUUACUGGUUUGUAUUCCUGUUGAGUUACUCUCAUAUCAUAGCCUUGAUAUUUAUACUAUCCAUGCCUGAGUUACUCUUACUCCAUAGCUUUGAUAUUUAUACUUUCCAUGUUUUUUGCUGUUGUUGUUGUUUUAUUUUAUUUUAUUUUAUUCCUGCUGGAAUAAGACUAAUUCAUAAUAUGUAUCUUUAUACAGAUGGAUAUGUAAUGGUCUAACUUUAUGCUGUUAUUUUGUAUGGGAGCAAAAAACAACCUGUAUUUAUGCAAUAGAUGAUAGGUUUCCAAAUCUGUCAGCUGCUCCGAAGUCUGCGAGCAGUGGUACUAGCGCUUGUGCUUCAUUAGGUUAAUGCACAUUAGUUACUGUUAACAUAACUCCGUUAAGCACUGCAGUUAGG
This is a long non-coding RNA of Anser cygnoides (Swan goose), 1723 nucleotides long. Lineage: Eukaryota; Metazoa; Chordata; Aves; Anseriformes; Anatidae. The record is from Ensembl.